RNAcentral lists this ribosomal RNA (373 nucleotides) under uncultured organism. RNAcentral's name for it is "partial 16S ribosomal RNA". It matches the Rfam family "Bacterial small subunit ribosomal RNA", at positions 527 to 896 of the family's 1533-position model. The record is from RNAcentral.
GUAGGUGGCAAGCGUUGUCCGGAAUUAUUGGGCGUAAAGCGCGCGCAGGCGGUUCUUUAAGUCUGAUGUGAAAGCCCACGGCUCAACCGUGGAGGGUCAUUGGAAACUGGAGAACUUGAGUACAGAAGAGGAAAGCGGAAUUCCACGUGUAGCGGUGAAAUGCGUAGAGAUGUGGAGGAACACCAGUGGCGAAGGCGGCUUUCUGGUCUGUAACUGACGCUGAAGCGCGAAAGCGUGGGGAGCAAACAGGGAUUAGAUACCCUGGUAGUCCACGCCGUAAACGAUGAGUGCUAAGUGUUAGGGGGUUUCCGCCCCCUUAGUGCUGCAGCUAACGCAUUAAGCACUCCGCCUGGGGAGUACGGCCGCAAGGCUG